This 487-nucleotide ribosomal RNA is filed under the name uncultured bacterium. RNAcentral's name for it is "bacterial SSU rRNA". It matches the Rfam family "Bacterial small subunit ribosomal RNA", at positions 28 to 517 of the family's 1533-position model. The record is from RNAcentral.
GAUGAACGCUAGCGGCAGGCUUAACACAUGCAAGUCGAGGGGUAUAGUUCUUCGGAACUAGAGACCGGCGCACGGGUGCGUAACGCGUAUGCAAUCUACCUUUCACAAAGGGAUAGCCCCAGAGAAAUUUGGAUUAAUACCUUAUAGUAAUACGACUUGGCAUCAAGAUGUAUUUAAAGAUUUAUCGGUGAAAGAUGAGCAUGCGUCCAUUAGCUUGUUGGUAAGGUAACGGCUUACCAAGGCAACGAUGGGUAGGGGUCCUGAGAGGGAGAUCCCCCACACUGGUACUGAGACACGGACCAGACUCCUACGGGAGGCAGCAGUGAGGAAUAUUGGACAAUGGGCGCAAGCCUGAUCCAGCCAUGCCGCGUGCAGGAUGACGGUCCUAUGGAUUGUAAACUGCUUUAUACAGGAAGAAACACUCCGACGUGUCGGAGCUUGACGGUACUGUAAGAAUAAGGAUCGGCUAACUCCGUGCCAGCAGCCG